UAGGUUGAACUACGCAGGAACAGCCACAGAGAUGUGGUGUCCUUCGGGGCCGUGCGAUAGGUGGUGCAUGGCUGUCGUCAGCUCGUGUCGUGAGAUGUUGGGUUAAGUCCCGCAACGAGCGCAACCCUUAUCCUAUGUUGCCAGCGCGUAAUGGCGGGGACUCGUGGGAGACUGCCGGGGUCAACUCGGAGGAAGGUGGGGACGACGUCAAGUCAUCAUGCCCCUUAUGUCUAGGG
This 236-nucleotide ribosomal RNA is filed under the name uncultured bacterium. RNAcentral's name for it is "partial 16S ribosomal RNA". It matches the Rfam family "Bacterial small subunit ribosomal RNA", at positions 976 to 1213 of the family's 1533-position model. The record is from RNAcentral.